RNAcentral lists this unclassified non-coding RNA (208 nucleotides) under rhizosphere metagenome. RNAcentral's name for it is "partial ribosomal RNA internal transcribed spacer region". The record is from RNAcentral.
AUGAUUUAUCUUUAAACAAACCGUGAACUUUAUUAUCUAUUCGUGUAUUUUAACAAUUUAUUGUUUAAUUACACUGUCAUUCGAUGAACAUUAGAUAGCUGGCUCGUUUUUUAUUAAACUUUCUCAGCUGAUUUGUUGUUAGACUAAACAUCUAUUCAAUGAUCAACCAAACAUAGAAACAACUCUAUCCCCUGGAUAUCUUGAUUCU